Xenopus tropicalis (tropical clawed frog) is the source of this 665-nucleotide long non-coding RNA. RefSeq lists it as uncharacterized. The transcript is spliced from 5 exons. Lineage: Eukaryota; Metazoa; Chordata; Amphibia; Anura; Pipidae. The record is from RefSeq and is a predicted model, not a curated record.
AUUUAAGGUUUAAUGGAGUCAAUGCAACUGGUCGGGCUAUAUGCUAAAUAUAAGCCUUAAGGAUUUCUAAUCCCAGAUUGCCCAAUAUAAUGAAUGGCCAAGGAUAUUGAGACCCUCAGACAGCUAUGGCAAUGAUUACCUUCAUUUUUGUGGGAAAAUCCAGGAGUCUCAGCCACGUGGAAAUCAUUGAGAACUAAAGAGAAAAACAACCACUUUUUUAAGCUUAAACACUUCUGUUUUUUCUGUUAUAGAUAAUAAAGUUGAUAAAUUGCUCUAUCCUACUAAAAGGUUUGCUGCAGACACCCACAGCACCAAUGGCACCCAAAGAGAGGUCCCGCUGACUGGAUGAGGAGUGGCACACCACUCACAAGCAAAAAGCCAUAUGGCAGCUUCUGCGCUUCAGUAGGAGAUGCUUGGAAUGAAGAAGAAGAAAUACAUGCCGUAUAAUCACCAGCACAAGUACUUCUUCUUCAUUGGGCCUCCAGCACUGAUUCCCGUCUAUUCCCAAUGGUAUAUUUUCUACUUUGCAAUACGGCACAAGAAGUGGGCGGACCUGGCCUGGAUGAUGUGAGGUUUGGUCUGUGUUACAUCCCGUUCCUGGGAGUGAGCGGCACCAUCGCUCUGUUCAUGGUGGUUAGAUUUAUUGAGAGCAACUUGUCUGUGUU